GCCGGUAUAGUUUAAUGGUAAAACAGAGCAAUGGUAAUGCUCAGCUCCAAGUUCGAUCCUCGGUACCGGCACCA
Molecule: transfer RNA, 74 nt
Filed under: Erysipelothrix sp.
Lineage: Bacteria; Bacillati; Bacillota; Erysipelotrichia; Erysipelotrichales; Erysipelotrichaceae
Description: tRNA-Thr
Rfam family: tRNA
About the family: Transfer RNA (tRNA) molecules are approximately 80 nucleotides in length. Their secondary structure includes four short double-helical elements and three loops (D, anti-codon, and T loops). Further hydrogen bonds mediate the characteristic L-shaped molecular structure. tRNAs have two regions of fundamental functional importance: the anti-codon, which is responsible for specific mRNA codon recognition, and the 3' end, to which the tRNAs corresponding amino acid is attached (by aminoacyl-tRNA synthetases). tRNAs cope with the degeneracy of the genetic code in two manners: having more than one tRNA (with a specific anti-codon) for a particular amino acid; and 'wobble' base-pairing, i.e. permitting non-standard base-pairing at the 3rd anti-codon position.
Source: RNAcentral